AAAAGAUAAACCAGACAAACAGCGGUGAACUUUCCCUAGGACUGGAGGUCUGGAAGAUGAAUAUUUCUCUCCUAUACAGGGAAGGUCACAUUUCUCCUUUCAGUCUAUGGAGCCCCAGGCACCAGGGAAGCCAACUCCAUGCUUGGGGUCUGGAUAGUGUCAAUUCAAGAUGAACAUAAAAGUCCUCAGUCAUUAUCCGGGAGGUGCAAACAACAUUACCUCCUGCUUCGUUUAGAAGAGCAAGACCAUGUCAUGGAGUUCCCUCACCCUCUCAACUUCCUUCUUCUCUACCUCAUGGUAUUACUGCAUCUUUAACUCGCCUUUCCUCCUUUUCUGUCACAGAGGUAGUAGAUCUUCUCUCUUAAAAUAAAAAUUCUUUCACUUGAGUGUAAAUUCUGUC
This 400-nucleotide long non-coding RNA is filed under the name Phascolarctos cinereus (koala). RNAcentral describes it as "lncRNA (ENSPCIG00000035375.1)". The record is from RNAcentral. Lineage: Eukaryota; Metazoa; Chordata; Mammalia; Diprotodontia; Phascolarctidae.